This 440-nucleotide ribosomal RNA is filed under the name uncultured bacterium. Its description in RNAcentral is "partial 16S ribosomal RNA". It matches the Rfam family "Bacterial small subunit ribosomal RNA", at positions 338 to 795 of the family's 1533-position model. The record is from RNAcentral.
CCUACGGGCGGCAGCAGUGGGGAAUAUUGCACAAUGGGGGAAACCCUGAUGCAGCGACGCCGCGUGCGUGAAGAAGUAAUUCGUUAUGUAAAGCUCUAUCAGCAGGGAAGAAAAUGACGGUACCUGAGUAAGAAGCCCCGGCUAACUACGUGCCAGCAGCCGCGGUCAUACGUAGGGGGCACUCGUUAGCCGGAUUUACUGGGUGUAAAGGGAGCGUAGACGGCAGUGCAAGUCUGGAGUUAAAGGCGGGGGCUCAACCCCCGGACUGCUCUGGAAACUGGACGGCUGGAGUGCAGGAGAGGUAAGUGGAAUUCCUAGUGUAGCGGUGAAAUGCGUAGAUAUUAGGAGGAACACCAGUGGCGAAGGCGGCUUACUGGACUGUAACUGACGUUGAGGCUCGAAAGCGUGGGGAGCAAACAGGAUUAGAUACCCCUGUAGUC